GAUGAACGCUGGCGGCGUGCCUAAUACAUGCAAGUCGAGCGAACAGAUAAGGAGCUUGCUCCUUUGACGUUAGCGGCGGACGGGUGAGUAACACGUGGGUAACCUACCUAUAAGACUGGAAUAACUCCGGGAAACCGGGGCUAAUGCCGGAUAACAUUUAGAACCGCAUGGUUCUAAAGUGAAAGAUGGUUUUGCUAUCACUUAUAGAUGGACCCGCGCCGCAUUAGCUAGUUGGUAAGGUAACGGCUUACCAAGGCAACGAUGCGUAGCCGACCUGAGAGGGUGAUCGGCCACACUGGAACUGAGACACGGUCCAGACUCCUACGGGAGGCAGCAGUAGGGAAUCUUCCGCAAUGGGCGAAAGCUUGACGGAGCAACGCCGCGUGAGUGAUGAAGGUCUUCGGAUCGUAAAACUCUGUUAUUAGGGAAGAACAAAUGUGUAAGUAACUAUGCACGUCUUGACGGUACCUAAUCAGAAAGCCACGGCUAACUACGUG
Molecule: ribosomal RNA, 497 nt
Filed under: uncultured bacterium
Lineage: Bacteria
Description: partial 16S ribosomal RNA
Rfam family: Bacterial small subunit ribosomal RNA
Source: RNAcentral